This 535-nucleotide ribosomal RNA is filed under the name Amanita sp. G1777. RNAcentral describes it as "eukaryotic LSU rRNA". It matches the Rfam family "Eukaryotic large subunit ribosomal RNA", at positions 160 to 676 of the family's 3401-position model. The record is from RNAcentral. Lineage: Eukaryota; Fungi; Basidiomycota; Agaricomycetes; Agaricales; Amanitaceae.
GUUACCGGUGCUGGACCAUGUAUAAGUCUCCUGGAAUGGAGUGUCGCAGAGGGUGAGAAUCCCGUGUUUGACAUGGACCGCCAGUGCGUUGUGGUGCGCUCUCAAAGAGUCGAGUUGUUUGGGAAUGCAGCUCUAAAUGGGUGGUAAACUCCAUCUAAAGCUAAAUAUUGGCGAGAGACCGAUAGCGAACAAGUACCGUGAGGGAAAGAUGAAAAGGACUUUGGAAAGAGAGUUAAACAGUAUGUGAAAUUGUUGAAAGGGAAACGCUUGAAGUCAGUUAUGUCGGGUAGGGAUCAGCCUGGCAGAUUGCUGGGUGAAUUGCCUAGUCUGGCAGGCCAACGUCAGUUUCGACUGGUAGAAAAGAGCAUAGGGAAUGUGGCACCCUUGGGUGUGUUAUAGCCUUGUGUCAUAUGUGGCAGUCGGGACUGAGGAACGCAGCGCGCCGAUCCGGCAGGGUUUCGACCACGUUCGCGCUUAGGAUGUUGGCAUUUAAUGGCUUCAAUCGACCCGUCUUGAAACACGGACCAAGGAGUCU